This 315-nucleotide unclassified non-coding RNA is filed under the name uncultured Hypocreales. Its description in RNAcentral is "sequence contains ITS1". The stretch from base 1 to 105 matches the Rfam family "5.8S ribosomal RNA", at positions 50 to 154 of the family's 154-position model. The record is from RNAcentral. Lineage: Eukaryota; Fungi; Ascomycota; Sordariomycetes; Hypocreales.
GAAAUGCGAUAAGUAAUGUGAAUUGCAGAAUUCAGUGAAUCAUCGAAUCUUUGAACGCACAUUGCGCCCGCCGGCACUCCGGCGGGCAUGCCUGUCCGAGCGUCAUUUCAACCCUCAGGGCCCCCUUUCGGGGGGGACCUGGUGCUGGGGAUCAGCGGCCCUCGGGCCCCUGUCCCCCAAAUACAGUGGCGGUCGCGCCGCAGCCUCCCCUGCGUAGUAGCACACCUCGCACCGGAGAGCGGUUCGACCACGCCGUAAAACCCCCAACUUUCCAAGGUUGACCUCGGAUCAGGUAGGAAUACCCGCUGAACUUAA